RNAcentral lists this ribosomal RNA (309 nucleotides) under Triticum aestivum (bread wheat). RNAcentral's name for it is "partial small subunit ribosomal RNA". The record is from RNAcentral. Lineage: Eukaryota; Viridiplantae; Streptophyta; Magnoliopsida; Poales; Poaceae.
AUGAAAAAGGGAACGGCCAGCUUGGGCAAGCGCCAGAACAAGACCCACAUGUUGUGCACCCUUUGCGACUGCCGCAGCUUCCACCUGCAGAAGAUAACCUACUCCUUAUGUAGCUACCUUGUCGCCCGCAUCUGCAAGUGUAAGUCCCACUGCCAUAUCCCCUUCCACUAUCUUCACAUGCAAUUUCGGUCCUUCGACCUAGCUGGCCUGUUUAGAUGUGGUGCUUGGUUCUGGUAUGUGGUUCCUGUGCGACACCGUGAUUGCUUUGGUUUCGAUGUUGUGUUUGUAGCACCAUCGUUAUUGCGUUGA